AUGGCCUCAGAUAGUAAGCUAACAAAUCCAGACGCCUAUGAUAGGGUAAUCUCGGUAGAGAUCCCUAGCUGUGAGAAGUACCCUGUGUUGCAUGGACUGGUUAUCAAGCAUAUGCUCCACGACCCAUGUGGUACUCUCCAGAAGAAUUGUCCUUGCAUGAUAGAUGGAAAUUGUCGUUUUCGUUACCUUCGACAGUUUUGCCCUGCAACACAACAAGGAAAGGACCCAUACCCUAUAUAUAGAAGAAGGGAUGAUGGCCGCCAAGUCAAAGUUAGGAAUGCAGUGUUGGACAACAGAUGGGUUGUCCCGUACAACCCCGGAUUGCUUAUGAGAUAUAAUUGUCACAUUAAUGUUGAAGCUUGCUCAAGCAUAAAGGCAGUCAAAUAUUUGUACAAGUACAUAUACAAGGGGCAUGAUCGUGCUUCCUUCUCAGUUGACCCGGCGGCAACUGAUGGUGGUGUGAUAAAUGAGAUUCGGCAAUACAGGGAUGCAAGGUUUGUAACACCAGUAGAGUCUAUGUACAGGGUAUGUGCUUUCCGUAUGUUUGGUGUCUCUCCUGCUGUGUUGCAACUACAGCUGCAUUUGCCCAGCAUGCAUACUGUUGCAAUCAGCGGUGCUGAUAACCUAGAGGAUGUCAUGAACCGACCGUCCUCUUCUUAA
This 660-nucleotide ribosomal RNA is filed under the name Triticum aestivum (bread wheat). Its description in RNAcentral is "partial small subunit ribosomal RNA". Lineage: Eukaryota; Viridiplantae; Streptophyta; Magnoliopsida; Poales; Poaceae. The record is from RNAcentral.